GCGGAGUCCGGGAAGUGAAUACAGUCUCGUGUUAUGCUUGAAAGUAAGUAGCUUCAAGAUCACUUCUUGAUCACUUAUUAGCUUCUCGACCGUGCUUUGCUUCUCUUCUCGCUCUCUUUUGCGUAAGGUAGCCACCAUAUAUGCUAGUGCUUGUUGCACCUCCACCUCACUACCCUUUCCUACCCAUAAGCUUAAAUAGUCUUGAUCUCAUGGGUGUGAGAUUGUUGAGUCCUCAUGACUCACAGAUACUUCCAAACAGUUGCAGGUGCCGAUGAUGCCAGUGCAGGUGACGCAGCCCAACUCAAGUGGGAGCUCGUUGAAAAUCUUGGCCGUUGUUUUAUGUAUUUUCUGGUUGUUCAGUAGUGGAGCCCAGUUGGGACGACCGGAGAUCUAGCAUUUGGGGUUGUCUUCUUUUAUUUUGGUUCUGUAGUCGGACCUUGACUGUAUUCUGGAUGAUGUAUGUUUAACUUGUCUUUGUGUGAAGUGGCGAUUGUAAGCCAACUCUUUAUCCCUUUCUUAUUCGGUACAUGGGAU
RNAcentral lists this long non-coding RNA (534 nucleotides) under Triticum aestivum (bread wheat). RNAcentral describes it as "long non-coding RNA (TAES_LNC014790)". The record is from RNAcentral. Lineage: Eukaryota; Viridiplantae; Streptophyta; Magnoliopsida; Poales; Poaceae.